Molecule: long non-coding RNA, 703 nt
Organism: Phyllostomus discolor (pale spear-nosed bat)
Lineage: Eukaryota; Metazoa; Chordata; Mammalia; Chiroptera; Phyllostomidae
Exons: 2
Source: RefSeq, a predicted model, not a curated record
CCAUUGCCUAAUUCAAAGUCAUGAAGAUUUAUGCCUAUAUUUUCUUCUAUGACUUUUAUAGUUUUAACACUUAUGUUUACAUCUAUGAUCCAUUUUUAGUUAAUUUUUAUGGGUAGAGUGAAUAAUGGGUAGAAAACCAAUGUUUAUCUACAACUUAAUCCAUGGCAAUUAACCAUUUAUUUUAAAAUAUACAGUUUUAUUUCAUUUUAUAUUAUAUAUUAUGUGUAUAUAUUUAUAUAUAUAUAUUUGGUUGUAAUAUCAGAGGUAACCAAUUAUGUAGGUAGUUUUAAAGUGAGGUGUGGAGCAGUCAGAAUAUCUUAAAUACUUGAAAUCCAUAUGUGAUACCAAAAAAAUUACUUUAGUCAUAGAAAUUCCUUGAUCGGAUUUAAAUCAGUGCUUCCUAAAGGUGUUAUAAGUAAUUUACCACAUUUAUAGAUACGAUAAUGAUUAGGCCACUAUAAUUUUUCAUUCAAUAGUAUGGACAUAAACAUAAGUCCAGUACUUCUGACUCACUUUUGUUCAUUUAUUCAUCUCUUUUUGCUGGAUAUUUUACUAAGAAAAAUAACAACUUAAGAAUGAUUCUGUUGGAAUUUGCCACAGAAAUUAUACAAGUUUUGAUUGGCUAACAGUAGGAAGUUAUAAACAGUAGUACCUCACAAAGUACUAAAAUCACCUAUUCAUUGUAGUUUAGUUGUGUUGUAGG